Long non-coding RNA from Lynx canadensis (Canada lynx), 2494 nucleotides. RefSeq lists it as uncharacterized. The transcript is spliced from 2 exons. The record is from RefSeq and is a predicted model, not a curated record. Lineage: Eukaryota; Metazoa; Chordata; Mammalia; Carnivora; Felidae.
GAGGAGAGGAAUCCCGCCCUCAUGCAUUCAGAGGCCCAGAGAAGAUGAUGUGGAAGACAGCGCUGGACUUCACGGUUUCAGGGUUGCAUGCAAGGGUCUCUGGACAGGACAGAGAGGCAGUGUAAGGACUAGAGCACAGGUUCUGUGGUCAGAUCCACAGUGCAGACCGACGCUUCUGCUCACAAGCCCUGGGAAUGGAAAAGCAGUUGUUUGUGACCUCUACGCCCCAGCAGCUCCUCUACACCUGCUGAUAAAGACAAGUGAGGACAGGUGCAAAGCUUCCAGCCCUGGGAUGGCUCCGGCCCUGAACACUAUUCCAUUGUUUGGAUGGACUGCGCUUUACCCAUCACCCGCCGAAGGACAGCCUGGUUGCUUCCAAGUCUGGGCGAUUAUGAAAAAAGCUGCUAUGAACAUCACGUGCAGGUGUUUGCGUGAACAUAAGUGUUCAACUCCUUUGGGUAAAUACCACGGAGAGUGGUUGCUGGAUCACAUGGCAGGAGUAUGUUUAGUUUGGGAAGAAACUGCCAAACUGUCUUCCAAAGAGGCUGCGCCAUUUUGCACUCACACCAGCAACGGAUGAAGAGCUCCGGAGGCCCCACACCCGCGCCGGCAUCUGGUGUCGUCAGGGUUCUGGAUUUGGGCCGUUUCGAUAGAUGUGUGAUGUGUCUCGUAGACAACAUGUAGUUGGGUCAGGUUUCUUGAUCCACUCUGAUCAUCUCUGUCUUCGAAUUGGUCCAGUUAGACCAUCGAUAUUUAAAGUGACUACGGAUGGAGUUGGCGUAACAGCUACCAUAUUUUAACGGCUUCCUGUUUGUUACCCUUGUUCAUGGUGCCUGCUUUUGUCUUGUACUCUUUCUGCCUUCGGUGGUUUUAAUUAAACAUUUUCUAUCCUUCCACAUCUCUCUUUUCUUAACAUAUCAGAUAUACCCCUUUGUUUUACUAUUUUUAGUAGCUUCUCUAGAAUUUCCGAUACGCAUUUACAACUAAUGCAAGUUCACUUUCUCCGGGUAGAGCAAUACCGCAGAGGCAUCUAACUCCUGCCCCCUGUCCCAUGUCGUUGCUGCUGUCCUUGUCACUGACACGCAAGUGCGCACAGACACACGAUUGAACACAGGGUUGCUGUUACUAGUUUUGAAGAAACUGUUGUCAGUUAGAUCAAUUAAGAAUAAGAAAGAGGAAGGUUUUUAUUCUAUCUUUGCUUGUCCCUCCUUUCAUGCUCUUCCUUCCUUUCCGCAGAUCCGAGUCUCUGACCUGUAUUACUUUCCCCCUUUCUAAAGAAAUUCUUUUCACAUCUCUGGAAGGCAGGGCUAUGGCAACAGGCUUCCUCAGUUUUUGUGUGACUGAGGGAGCCUUUAUUUCUCCUUCCCUUUUGAAGGAUAAUUUCACGAGGCACAGAUUCUGAGGUUGGCGUUUUGAUUUUUCUUCUCUCAACACUUCAAGUCCUUCCCUCUCCUGUUUGCGUUGCUUUGAGAACAAGCGGGAUAUGAUUCUACCUUUGCGUCUAUGUAGGCAUCGUGGUUUUCUCCUGGGCUUCGUUCAGGAUUUUUCCUUUACCUUUGAUUUUCUGUAAUUGGAAACGGUGUGCCCAGAUAUUGUCUUCUCAAGGCACUUUAUUCAGCUCUGUGUUCUUUGAGCUUUCUGGAUCUGGGGUUCUCCGUCUGACACUCAUUUGGGGGAAAUUCUGAGUCAUUAUGGUUUCAAAUAUUUCUUCUGCUCCUUUCUCUCUUCUCCUUCUGGAAUUCCUGUUUCGUGUAUUUGCAGUUGCGCCUUAGUCUUUGGGUAUCCUGUGAGGGUUUCUUUAAUCUUUUUUUUUUCUUUGCUUUUAAGUUUGGCUGUUUCUGUUGACAUGCACUCAGCUUGGAGGUUCUCUCCUUCGCUGUGUCCACGCUACUCAUAAGUCUGUCAAGGACAUUCUUCGUUUCGGUUACAGUGGGUUUUGUCUCUAGAAUUUCUUCCGGGUUCUUUCGUAGAAUUUCCGUCUCUGCUCACAUUGCCCAUCUGUUCUUGCACACCAUCUACCUGGUCCAUUAACCAGUGUUGUUUUAAGUUCCUGGUUUUGUAAUUCCAACAUCCCUGCCACAUCUGAGUCUUGUUCUGAUACUUUCUCUGUCUUCUCUAAUUGUGUUUUUUUGCCUUCAAGUAUGUCUUGCAGUUUUUUCUUGAUGGCCAUACAUGAUGUUGAAGACAGUGCAGUGAACAGGCCGUUAGUAAUGCUGCUGUCAGGUGUGGGGAAGGAAAGCAACCUAUAGCCUGUGAUUAGGUCUCCAUCUUUGAUGAGCUUCAGCUCCGGACUGUGAACUUCACAAGGGUUUCUCUGGCUUUUUUUCUCUCCCUCUAGGUGGGACAGGAUGGCUACUGUGGGCUGGAGUUGGGUGUUUCCCUUCCAGUAGGUCAGCUAGGCUCUGGUAAACCACAGCACGUUAGGCUCUGGUUAACUGGUUCCUGCCGAGGGCAGACCUCAUGUAAAAGAACGCGGUGUAUUUCAAAAUGGUUC